CGGCGGACGGGUGAGUAACGCGUGGGUAACCUACCCUAUACACACGGAUAACAUACCGAAAGGUAUGCUAAUACGGGAUAAUAUAUUUGAGAGGCAUCUCUUGAAUAUCAAAGGUGAGCCAGUACAGGAUGGACCCGCGUCUGAUUAGCUAGUUGGUAAGGUAACGGCUUACCAAGGCGACGAUCAGUAGCCGACCUGAGAGGGUGAUCGGCCACAUUGGAACUGAGACACGGUCCAA
This 238-nucleotide ribosomal RNA is filed under the name uncultured bacterium. RNAcentral's name for it is "partial 16S ribosomal RNA". It matches the Rfam family "Bacterial small subunit ribosomal RNA", at positions 96 to 334 of the family's 1533-position model. The record is from RNAcentral.